Molecule: ribosomal RNA, 253 nt
Filed under: uncultured bacterium
Lineage: Bacteria
Description: partial 16S ribosomal RNA
Rfam family: Bacterial small subunit ribosomal RNA
Source: RNAcentral
GAUCCUGGCUUAGAUUGAACGCUGGCGGCAGGCUUAACACAUGCAAGUCGAACGGUAACAUAAAGAAGCUUGCUUCUUUGAUGACGAGUGGCGGACGGGUGAGUAAUGCUUGGGAAUCUAGCUUAUGGAGGGGGGAUAACUACGGGAAACUGUAGCUAAUACCGCGUAAUAUCGAAAGAUUAAAGUGUGGGACCUUCGGGCCACAUGCCAUAGGAUGAGCCCAAGUGGGAUUAGGUAGUUGGUGAGGUAAAGG